GAGAGCGGGUGUAACAUCCCAAAAUUUCAAACUUUUACAUGUGCAUUGCAUCCAUGAGCAUCAUGCCACAAUUGCAUAUUUGAAUUCAAAAUUUGAAUAUCAAAAAGGCUUUAACAGACUUUGUUUACACCCAUUUAAGCUUUGGACUUUCAAACCAAUAGGGUUUAUGUAUAAAAGGGGUAUAUUGCAUAUAUAAGCUAUCCCAUAAUUUUUGGAUAAUUAUUUGGAGUUGAAAAAGUAUUUUAUUUAAAUAGAUAUAUAUAGCUCUAAAGGCAUUUAUAGGGCAAAUGUAUUUUUAUAUAUUUUAUUUUGAGGGGAAACUACUCCCAAAAGUUGAAUCAUGGUAGAACAUGAUUUUUACAAAUUUUCUAGAAUUUAUUUGGACCAAUUUGGAGUUCAAAAUCAAAAGAUAUCAAAGAAAUAAGAAAAACAGAAAAAGAAAAGGGCUAAAGGAAAAAAAAAGAGAAAACCGGACCGGCCCGGCCACUUUGGGCCGAACCAGCCCAGUCCGACCACGCCCGACCGCACGCGAGCCGGCACCGCCAGCCUGGUCCGCUCGUGCACGCGCCCGCUGCCACUGACAGGUGGGGCCCACCUGUCAGCAGCUUCUUCCCA
RNAcentral lists this long non-coding RNA (615 nucleotides) under Brachypodium distachyon (stiff brome). RNAcentral describes it as "long non-coding RNA (BDIS_LNC003710)". The record is from RNAcentral. Lineage: Eukaryota; Viridiplantae; Streptophyta; Magnoliopsida; Poales; Poaceae.